RNAcentral lists this ribosomal RNA (253 nucleotides) under uncultured bacterium. RNAcentral describes it as "partial 16S ribosomal RNA". It matches the Rfam family "Bacterial small subunit ribosomal RNA", at positions 524 to 776 of the family's 1533-position model. The record is from RNAcentral.
UACGUAGGGAGCGAGCGUUGUCCGGAAUCAUUGGGCGUAAAGAGUUCGUAGGUGGCACGUUAAGUCUGGUGUUAAAUGCAGAAGCUCAACUUCUGUUCGGCACUGGAUACUGGCGAGCUUGAAUGCGGUAGAGGUAAAGGGAAUUCCUGGUGUAGCGGUGAAAUGCUUAGAUAUCAGGAGGAACAUCGGUGGCGUAAGCGCUUUACUGGGCCGUAAUUGACGCUGAGGAACGAAAGCCAGGGUAGCAAAUGGG